UACGAAGGGGACUAGCGUUGUUCGGAAUCACUGGGCGUAAAGCGCACGUAGGCGGGUCUGUAAGUAGGGGGUGAAAUCCCAGGGCUCAACCCUGGAACUGCCUUCUAGACUGCAGGCCUUGAGGUCAGGAGAGGCGAGUGGAAUACCGAGUGUAGAGGUGAAAUUCGUAGAUAUUCGGUGGAACACCAGUGGCGAAGGCGACUCGCUGGACUGAUACUGACGCUGAGGUGCGAAAGCUAGGGGAGCAAACGGG
Molecule: ribosomal RNA, 253 nt
Filed under: uncultured bacterium
Lineage: Bacteria
Description: partial 16S ribosomal RNA
Rfam family: Bacterial small subunit ribosomal RNA
Source: RNAcentral